UACAGAGGGUGCAAGCGUUAAUCGGAAUUACUGGGCGUAAAGCGCACGCAGGCGGUUGGAUAAGUUAGAUGUGAAAGCCCCGGGCUCAACCUGGGAAUUGCAUUUAAAACUGUCCAGCUAGAGUCUUGUAGAGGGGGGUAGAAUUCCAGGUGUAGCGGUGAAAUGCGUAGAGAUCUGGAGGAAUACCGGUGGCGAAGGCGGCCCCCUGGACAAAGACUGACGCUCAGGUGCGAAAGCGUGGGGAGCAAACAGG
RNAcentral lists this ribosomal RNA (253 nucleotides) under uncultured bacterium. RNAcentral describes it as "partial 16S ribosomal RNA". It matches the Rfam family "Bacterial small subunit ribosomal RNA", at positions 524 to 776 of the family's 1533-position model. The record is from RNAcentral.